GUGGAGUGGAGACGACCUACUCAGCUGAGCCGGACAGAUCCCAAGUUCCUCCAGCCCUUAGGAAUACUUCACACAGCAGCAUGGUGACUGUCUAUAUUUUGCAGAGCAUUCUGCAGAGGGAUAGGCUCUCUGGCCUUUUUUGCUACCAUUUUACACAGCCUCCCGCUGCGAAUGGGACUGCUUUGUCUCAACUGACAGAACCAGCAAGCCAGAAAGUUUGCCACUUCUGAAUGAUUGCUUAUUGCCUCUUCCGUGGUUCUCAGCAUCAGGAAAUGGUUGCAAAGCAUCUCAGCUGCUACAGAUUGUUUAAAAGCUCAUAUUUAAUGCUCCCCCAACUACUCUUUCCCUCAAGACAAAGAAUGUCUUGGAUCACCUUUUCAAAAAGCAAAUGUAACCACAAAAAUCUCCAGGAAAACCUGAGUAUUUCCUCAGCUCUUAGAUGCUUUACAUCUGUAGUUUUAAAAACUCAAACUCUCAAUUGAUUUCAGCGGAGAACCAAAAGGAAGCCUAAUAUUUCAAAACUGGGUCUCUUCUUGUGCAAUGUAAAUCGAGACCAGCCGCUUGAGACCAGGGCAGAAGAAGCAGAGUGAAAACAAUGACCAGAAUGAGAAAGUGAAUCACACUCUGAAAUGAUGUGCAUUGUUAUGAUGGGAGAAGGGGACCUUCCUACAUCCAACAAUUGGAAAAUAUUGCUUCAAUCUACCUCCAAGGGAAUUCCAGCCCCUUCCGUUCAGGCCAUCCGUUUGUUCAAGUUGGGAACAAAAGGAAAGUUGCCCCAGCAGAUAUUGGGGCUACUCACGAUUUUGAGAAGCUACGUAUGUAUGCAAUUACUGCUGCUGGGAAGAAACUGCAUUUCUGCAUCCCCUUGACAUCUGCCUCAUUUCAAUAAUUUUCAGUCACUGAACCUCUGUCUGAAUGAUCAUUAGGAAACAGAGCCUUGUUGGUUACUAAUUUGAAUCUCCGUCUCUCUCCCCAAAGACCCCCACUUGAAUUCCAUGCUUGUGUAAGGACUCAGUGGAUGAGUUUGAUGUCUGAAGUUUUUGUAUCCUUAUCCUCUGCUCAGAGACAUUCUCUUCAUAGCCAUUGGCAUCUAGUUAAGAACGGGAAGCGCUGGCAUAAUUAACGUUUACUUCUGUCGAAGAUAUGUUCAUUUGCCUAUUUAUUAAUCACUGAACUAAAAUUAAAAGCCUCAAUAAGCAGAGUCUUCUGAAGUUUCUUGCAGGUUGCUACGUCUGCAAUACAGUAUGCCGCACUUCUCUACAUCACUGAAGAAAGAAAUGUUUCAGGUCUUCUCAAUGUGAUCUCUUUGCCUGGCUUGCUGGGCAUUCUUACGGCAUGGCAUCACGUGGCCGGAGGACCACAUCAAUGAAAAACAAAAACUUCAGAACAGAGUUUUCCAAUCACAACGAAAAACCUCUGAGCAAUUUUUAGAAAUAGUCUUGGGGGCCAACAGUAGCAUCCCACCACGUUCUCUGUUACAAAGAAUCAAAAUUGGAAUAUCACAUUUCACUCAAGUGAGAGAAGGAAUCUGGAGUUCCAACCUCCGUUGAGGAUCAAGAAUCAGGGACUCUGUCUUAUUUGCCAAGACAUCAAAAAUCAGAUGGGCCAGACACGUAAUGCAAUUCAGAGACGACUGCUGGACUAGAGCUGUAACCUACUGGAUUCUAUGGGACAUCAAAAGACCACGUGGCCACUCACCUACUAGAUGGACAGACUUCAUCGUCAAAACCCUGAAUGAACAGUUUGAGGAUCUUCCUGUUCCUGGAGAGAGCAGAUACCAUUGGGCUACACUAGCACAUGACAGGGACAACUGGAGACAUUACUGGUGCCCGCUCAAGCAAAUCAAAGAUCUAUGGGAUGACAAGUGAUACAAGUGAUGUGGAAGCUAAUCCCCCAUAACCCCCUGAGCCAGGUUUGUUCUCCACUGUUUCCACUGCUCACUCUGUAUUUUAUCCAACACUGCGCUUUGUAGGGUUUUUUUUGUUUGGGGAAAGUGGGACCACACCUCAGGAUGACUCCCUUCUCUGCACUCUGGGGUCACUCCUGGUCAUGUUGGGGGAACCAACAUGCAGGACAUUGAGCCAGGUAUACUGCACACAAGGCAAGUGCCUAAAAUGUGAUAUUGUCACUCUGGCUCUCAAUGUUUCUUAAUUAUAUUUUUGAUGCUGUCAUAGUUUUAAAUUUUAUUUUUCCAAUAGAGAACAUAACAAAAGAGAAAACAUAUAUUUUUCCCACUAUUUUGUGAGAAAACAUUAUUAUUGUUGAUGUUGCUUCUGUUGUUAAUACUAUUCCAUAACAUAAUUUAGGAUAGUAUCACUAUUCUUUAGGUUUAGACUGUUACCAUUGCACCAACAUGCCACCAAAAUGCCACUAAAGUGCCUAUAUCCCCAAGACUAGCCUGAAGGUGUCUUCUCAUCUGCCCCCUCGCUUUUCAACUUCCCAGUCCCCCACUGAAUAACACAGUUCUGUUAUCAUAGCUUUGCUUUCAUUGGCUAAUUUCUUGUUUCAGUUCCUUUUCUACCACUCUGAGUAAGAUCACCCUGUAUUUUUCUUUUACCUGACUUGUUUCAAAAGAGUACAUUGUGGAAUGAGUGGAAAGGCGAGGCCAUUUCUGGCAUCAGAGUUCACUCCUGGAUCAAAACUGGAUCAGUCUCUGUAAGACAAGCAUUUUAUUUUUUGUUUAUUUGUGGAGCUACAACUGGCAGUGUGUAGGAUUUAUUCCUGCCUCUGCACUCAGUGAUUAUUCCUGGUGAUACUCAGAGGAAUAUAGAACUUGCUGGGAAUCGAACCCAGAUUGGCAGCAUCCAUGGCAAGUGCCAUACAUAUGUAAUAUCUUUAUAACCCGAGACAAAUACCUUCACCCUUGUAUUAUCUCUCUGGACUCAGAAAAGUGUAUUUUCACAUCAAAAUAUUCUAAAGGACAGAUUCUCAAAUGAAAAGAUAGCUUUAACGUUUAAUAUAUUUCCAUCAACUAAAUUUACAGGAAACUCACUUCUCUUAUUUAUAAAUAAGUGAAACAUUAAUCACAGGUUGGAAAUAAAGAAACACUGGAGGUAAGUGAAAGUUCUCUGUAAAGUUGUAAUGUGACUUUUGUGACACAAGAACUGGCUUCAUAUGGGUGUGAAACCUGGUGAUUACACACAGAACCCACACAUAAACGGGUACUGUGCUAGGUUUAAUGCUCCACUGUCACCAUUUAAAAAAAAAUAUUUCUGAAUCACCAUGAAGUACAGUUACAGACUUACAAACUUUUGUGCUUGCAUUUCAGUUAUACAGUGCUCAAGUGCCCAUCCCUCACCAAUGCCCAUUUUCCACCACCAAUGGUCCCAGCAUCCCUCCCACCCAUCCCCUUUCUCCCCCCACCCCAUCCUGCCUCUGUGGCAGGGCAUUCCCUUUUGUUCUCUCUCUCCUUUUGGGUGUUGUGGUUUGCAGUAGAGGUAUUAAGUGGCCAUCAUGUUAGGUCUAUAGUCUACUUUCAAGAUGAAGUCAUGAAAUUUGCAUAUAGGUGGAUCAACGUGGAAAGUAUCAUGUUAAGUGAAAUGAGUCAGAAAGAGAGCAAUAGACAUAGAAAGAUUACACUCAUUUGUGGAAUAUAAAGUAACAGAAUGGGAGAUUAACACUCAAGAACAGUAGAGAUAAGUACAGAAAAUCUGGAUUCGCUCAGAUCCUGUGACAAAGGUACUGAGAUCUCCUUUUAUUACGACUCUACUGUACACACCUCUAAAAGAAACAAAGAAGUUGCAGGAAGAACAUUGAGGCAUUGAGGCAUACAUUGUCUCCUUAAGUCCGCCAGAUAGUCAGUUUCAACCUCCCAGAAAGAAUUGCACAGACAAGAGCCUUCAGAGGCCACAAGCACCUGGGGUCUACAUAUCAAAGACAACUGGGUCUGGGCUCCGUGAGAAGAGGAAGGCUGACUCUUCCGGUACACAGAAAUUAUGUUAUUUACUGAAGGCAGUUUAAAGAUAGAGAUGUUCAGCCUCAUCGAAACCAAUGCAGACACAGGAGUAAUAAUCUCGCCCAUUUUCACGGGUUUCUGUGUUCCUGCCCGUUUGCUGGUCAGUCUAGAAAGGCUCAUACUGAUGGUCUAGCCCAGACCAACAAAUUUUUAAGUAAAGAUUACAAACAUUUGUCACUAAACUAGAAUAUGUUCAAUCAGCAACUCUGCUAACUCUUCAAUAUGGCUUGCUUUGGGUGCUAGAGUUUUAGUUGAAAACUAAAACGAGUUUUAGUUUUAGUGUGAAAAGUCCCCACCUCUGGCUGAUGAUAGAUAUCAUAGCUCAUAUUUUUACAUGUAAUAUAGUUUGGUAUUCUACAAAAAUACACACUCAAUCUCAUGCAGUCAGGUUAUAUAUUGUAUUUUCCACAACAUUGACCUCAUUAAAAUAAUUUGAAUAUUAGCUUCUUAUUUGCAUAGGUUUUAAAAUAAAUAAGGAUUUUUUUAAAUUUAGGAUUAUAGGCUUUGUAUUAUAGGUACCCCUGGGAAUAUAAACUAUAUAUAAACAUUAUCUAAAAAAUUUCUAUAAAUUUUUCACAUGAGCAUACACAUGCAUACACACACACCCACACACACUUUGAACACACAAUUUAGCAGCUUAAAGAUACUCUGAGGACUAACACAGAUUAAGAAUUCGUACCUUAGGUCCAGAGACUAGCUCAGUAGGCUAAGUGCCUAUAACUCUAUUUGUGUGCAGGAGAUCAGGGUUCAGUUCUUGGCAAUGUGUGGUCCUCUGAGCACCACCCUAGCACAGAGCCAAUAAUAGUUGAGCACACCAUCCAUUAGAAAGUUUUGCGUUCUUUCUGUGAUCUGAUCUGUUUGGAUGGUUCUGGUUACUUUCAGGAUAUAAGUUUUGCUUCGAAAACUGUGAUUGAUGUGGCUGCUCCUCCAUGCACACAUCAUUAGUUUGCAGAGGGUAAGCUCAGAUGGUCAGAGCUUCGUGCUAAUGAGGCGAAGGUUAGGGGUUCAGUGCCCAUGUGGGCCACUUAGCUUUUGUCUCAUUCAUGUCCCCAGACUACUUCCAACACAGACCACCUGUCUUGAAAAUGUAUGUCUAUAGUCAGAAGGAGGAAACAUGUAAAGGGGUUUGGAUAGAUUGUUGCAAAUCUAUAUCAUGACUGAAAAAUAAACCAUUCUGUGGGUUCCUAGUGGUUGACAAGGAAACUCACCCUUCUUUAAAGCGGACACCAAGAAAACUCACCUUUAUUUAAAGAAGACUCAGAGGUGGCUAGUCUAUAGGUACUAUUAAUGACUUGUUGUCACUAAAAUUUGCAUCCCAGGAAAAUAUGUGGCCACAUGAAUAUGUUAGCCAAAACAGUGGUGAGGUGUCUGUCACUUAAGUGAGUGCCUUUCUUUCUAAGUAAAUGUAAAGAAUUACUUACAUUUAGAAGUUCGAGCAUUCAAUUUGUAGAAAAUUCCUUUCAUAAAGAGCAACUACAAGUGUCCCAAACUAUAAAAUGAAAAAAUCAUUGGUUGAAAUAGUUGAAGUUAAUAACAUUUUUCAUCCUCAUGCAUGUUUAUUCUUACUCUGAGCAAAAAAACACUAUGAAACCAACACCAACAGAGAUUAAGCAGUGGUCCCCUAGACUCACAAUCUUUUCUUCUUCUGGUCUCACAUGAAGUCUGUUGUAACUCCUCCAUGGCUUCCACAUGAGUACUGAUCCUUGCUCCUAACACUUCGGCUCAAGCUCUGACUAUUUUAUGAGAUCAACAAGAGAGCACAGCUAGCUAGUCUUUCAUCCUUCCCAACAAUGAGGAUGAGAGAUGAGGGUAAGGCCUGGAGUUUAACUCCCUGUUCAAAACCCAAACGCAUAAUUAUUAGUUCUGUGAGUUAAAAUUAUGUGAAUUUUGGCCUUGCCUCAGUUUUGGACAUUUUGGGUAUUUGUCUCAUUUUUUUGUUUUGCUUAGCUCAAUAACUGCCUCAUGGGAUUGUUGUAAUGUUGUGAAUAGGUAAAUGUAUAAAGUUCUUUAUAAUUUCUCAAAUAAAAUUGUAAUUUUUAAAUGUAAACCGCACUUUGUAAAAGUACUACUGCUAUUAUAACUACUACU
This is a long non-coding RNA of Sorex araneus (European shrew), 6043 nucleotides long. RefSeq lists it as uncharacterized. The record is from RefSeq and is a predicted model, not a curated record. NCBI's taxonomy places the organism in Eukaryota, Metazoa, Chordata, Mammalia, Eulipotyphla, Soricidae. The transcript is spliced from 6 exons.